This 344-nucleotide ribosomal RNA is filed under the name uncultured eukaryote. RNAcentral's name for it is "SSU rRNA". It matches the Rfam family "Eukaryotic small subunit ribosomal RNA", at positions 567 to 909 of the family's 1831-position model. The record is from RNAcentral.
CCAGCAGCCGCGGUAAUUCCAGCUCCAAUAGUGUAUAUUAAAGUUGUUGCAGUUAAAAAGCUCGUAGUCGAAUGUAGGGUUAUAAACGCCGAGAUGUCUUUUAGGAGACGAUUUUUGGCGUCAUAACUCUUUUUUACCGACCAAAAUUUGGUUUUAAUUAAUCAGAUCGUGGGCGCCGGUAAUAUUUACUGUGAAUAAAUCAGAGUGUUCAUGGCAGGCCGUAUGGGCUUAAAUAUCUCAGCAUGGAAUAAUAGAAUAGGACUUAUGGUUCUAUUUUGUUGGUUUUUGGAGCCGAAGUAAUGAUUAAUAGGAAUAGUUGGGGGCACUCGUACUCCGUUGUCAGA